AUGACUGACACUGCCAAAGCUGUUCCAAAUUUUGAAGAGAUGUUUGCUAGUAGAUUCACAGAAGAUGACGAGGAGUAUCAGGAAUACUUGAAACGCCCUCCUGAGUCCUCUCCAAUUGUUGAGGAAUGGAAUAGCAGAGCUGGUGGGAACCAAAGAAACAGAGACAAUCGGUUGCAAGAUAGCAGACAGUUCAGAGGCAGGGACGGCAGAUGGGGGUGGCCAAGUGACAAUCGAUCCAAUCAGUGGCGUGGACAAUCCUGCGGUAACAAUUACCCGCAACACAGACAAGAACCUUACUAUCCCGACCAAUAUGGACAUUAAGGUUACAACCAGCUGCCCCCUUAC
Molecule: long non-coding RNA, 345 nt
Filed under: Homo sapiens (human)
Lineage: Eukaryota; Metazoa; Chordata; Mammalia; Primates; Hominidae
Description: non-protein coding lnc-ZFAND4-3:1
Source: RNAcentral